GAUUCAGAAAAUUUAAUUUCUUCCUGUUCGAAUAUAUUUAAAUCUCCGAAUUCCAGAUCAAUCUUUUCAGAAAGCGCUAACCUUUUAAGCGCUGAUAAUAAAAGUUUAACUAAAUCGGAAGAACUAAUUGAUUUUGAAAAAUAUUCCGAAGCGAAUAGUAAAGCAUCGAAAGAUACAGAACCGACUUCCUUUCUUUACGAUCAUGUACUAAAAGAUGUUUGUAAACAAGAAAUGAAGACCGGAGAAGAAGACGAGGAAAGUUUAUUAUCGUGUUCCUGUAAACUUUUUCGUUUGAAAGACGAUCAAAGUUGGGCUUGUUUGGGCGACUGCAUUAUUAAAGUUAACCGAACUAAAGCGCUUCCUUUUCGCUCGAGAAUUGUUUGCCGUUCUAAAAAUGUUAAAAAGUUACUGCUAAACGCUAACAUCUGUGCGGGAAUGGGCGUUCGGAAAGCGAAUCUUCGAAACAUCGUAUUAACUUUAUUUGAGUCGACCAUCGAACCCGGCGCGACUGUCCGAUAUCGCCUUCAGACUUACCUUGUUCGGGCAAACGCGCAAGAUACUGAAAAGUUUUAUGAUACCAUUAUAACUUUAAUUUCAGAUAAAAAAGAAAAAGAAAAAGAAGAGAAUAA
Long non-coding RNA from Zophobas morio, 629 nucleotides. RefSeq lists it as uncharacterized. NCBI's taxonomy places the organism in Eukaryota, Metazoa, Arthropoda, Insecta, Coleoptera, Tenebrionidae. The record is from RefSeq and is a predicted model, not a curated record. The transcript has 6 exons.